RNAcentral lists this ribosomal RNA (364 nucleotides) under Sporothrix schenckii. RNAcentral's name for it is "partial large subunit ribosomal RNA". It matches the Rfam family "Eukaryotic large subunit ribosomal RNA", at positions 274 to 658 of the family's 3401-position model. Lineage: Eukaryota; Fungi; Ascomycota; Sordariomycetes; Ophiostomatales; Ophiostomataceae. The record is from RNAcentral.
UUGGGAAUGCUGCUCAAAAUGGGAGGUAAAUUUCUUCUAAAGCUAAAUACCGGCCAGAGACCGAUAGCGCACAAGUAGAGUGAUCGAAAGAUGAAAAGCACUUUGAAAAGAGGGUUAAAAAGUACGUGAAAUUGUUGAAAGGGAAGCGCCUGUGACCAGACUUGCGCCCCGCGGACCACCCGGCGUUCUCGCCGGUGCACUCUGCGGUGCGCAGGCCAGCAUCGGUUCUCCCAGGGGGACAAAGGCCGCGGGAACGUAGCUCCUUCGGGAGUGUUAUAGCCCGCGGCGGCAUGCCCCUGGGGGGACCGAGGACCGCGCUUCGGCAAGGAUGCUGGCGUAAUGGUCACCAGCGACCCGUCUUGAA